RNAcentral lists this unclassified non-coding RNA (238 nucleotides) under uncultured Helotiales. RNAcentral's name for it is "sequence contains ITS2". The stretch from base 1 to 52 matches the Rfam family "5.8S ribosomal RNA", at positions 103 to 154 of the family's 154-position model. Lineage: Eukaryota; Fungi; Ascomycota; Leotiomycetes; Helotiales. The record is from RNAcentral.
AACGCACAUUGCGCCCCUUGGUAUUCCGAGGGGCAUGCCUGUUCGAGCGUCAUUAUAACCAAUCACGCCCUGUGCGUGGACUUGGGGUUCGCGGUCUCGCGUCCCUUAAAACCAGUGGCGGUGCUGUUAGGCUCUAAGCGUAGUAAUUCUUCUCGCUACAGGGUCUUGCGGUUACUUGCCAUAACCCCAACUUUCUUAGGUUGACCUCGGAUCAGGUAGGGAUACCCGCUGAACUUAA